GACGAACGCUGGCGGCGUGCUUAACACAUGCAAGUCGAACGGAAAGGCCCUGCUUUUGUGGGGUGCUCGAGUGGCGAACGGGUGAGUAACACGUGAGUAACCUGCCCUUGACUUUGGGAUAACUUCAGGAAACUGGGGCUAAUACCGGAUAGGAGCUCCUGCGGCAUGGGGGGGGUUGGAAAGUUUCGGCGGGUGGGGAUGGACUUGCGGCUUAUCAGCUGGUUGGUGGGGUAGUGGCUUACCAAGGCUUUGACGGGUAGCCGGCCUGGGAGGGUGACCGGCCACAUUGGGCCUGAGAUACGGCCCAGACUCCUACGGGAGGCAGCAGUGGGGUAUAUUGCACGAUGGGCGGACGCCUGAUGCAGCAACGCCGCGUGCGGGAUGACGGCCUUCGGGUUGUAGACCGCUUUCGCCUGUGACGAAGCGUGAGUGACGGUAAUGGGUAAAGAAGCACCGGCUAACUACGUG
RNAcentral lists this ribosomal RNA (468 nucleotides) under uncultured bacterium. Its description in RNAcentral is "partial 16S ribosomal RNA". It matches the Rfam family "Bacterial small subunit ribosomal RNA", at positions 28 to 507 of the family's 1533-position model. The record is from RNAcentral.